AGAUCCUAAUAGUUUGCCAUCAACAUGAAACUUGAUCAUUGUGACCUCCCUGAAAGACUAAGGACUCAUCCCCAUCCCAAUCCACCCCUGUGAGAUUAAGAAUAAAAAUUUCUCAUCACUUAGGACUUUACUUAGCAAGGCCCUCUUGAUCACCUUAAGUAGCUUUAUUUCCUUUUCUUCAUAGUAUUUCAUCGCCAUGUGAAAUGAUUUUAUUUAGAGUUGUUCUUUAAAUCCUGGUUCUUUGCAUUAGAACGUGAACUCCACUCUGCCAGGAGUCUCUUCGCCUAUUCUGUUCAUUGCCAUAACUACCACCGAGCACUGUGCAUGGCACAUGUUAGGCGCUUAGUAUUUGUUGACUAGUGAAUAAAUAAGUUCUUUUUUCCUGAUUUCUUGGUAGGACUAUCUUUGACAGUCCUUUCUGGGUCAGGCUCUAAGAGGGUACCGUUCUAACUUUUUUUCAUCCAAUUUUUUUGAUUGAUUGAUUUCCUCCUCUGUGCCGUGUUAACUUACAGCACAAGAUGGGUUUGCACAUCACCUCCUAAGAUGCUGAGUCGGAAGAAAGAGAAGGCAUGUGGAGCCUUGUCAAGGAGAAAGUGUGUUACUGAAUAAGUCAGUGAUGAUGAUUAAAAAUAUUAUAUGUGCUAGUUGAAAAAAAGUGAGGAUAUUGAAAUGAAAUCUGCAAAGUCAAGUUCUCACAGUAGUGUAUGUUUCCACUAGUAUUUAAAAUAUUGAUAUUUCUAUAGUCUCCUCUUCCCACUGCUUGUGCACCAACCCCAAAUUUAGCUGCGGUUUGGGAAGGUCCAUAGCAGGUAGAACUUAUGAAGUAUUAAUUUAACUAAAUGAAUAUAGGAUUUACAUCUCUGCAGAGCUCUUAACUCUGCUUUGUUGUUAAUAUCGCUAACUUAACUCCACAGAAGACUAGAUAGAGGUUAUUUAACAUUAUAUUUCAAACAUCUUAAGUGGAUUGUAAAGAAUUAAAGCUAUAAUAAUAAGCCAAUGAUAUAAUGGGAGAAUUAUUUGAAUGUAAUGCUUAACACUACUUCCUUAGAGGGUAAACUUGAGUAAACUUGAUUUUGUAAUACAUACUAAACUUGGGAGGCAUAUCAGUCUACCUUAAUCUUGUAGCAGUAUCUUUAGAACUCAGUACUUCCCAAGUCACUUCUAAAGAAGGUUGGGCAUCCUCCAGUUCCCUUCCCUUAACAGUGGCUGUGGUCACUUACAGAAGCAUAAUCUCAAGAGUGAGCUCAGAGAUAAUAGAAAUGUAAAGCUGAAAAAGACCUUGAAAUUGCUUGGCACAAGUCAUUGCUUUUUACCAGUUGCUUUCUGAGGACGCGAAGACACAGUGAGAUGACUUGCCCAAGAUGCAGGGUGGAGAUGAGAACUAAGGAUUGUCCCUGAAUUAGCCAGAGCUCCCAUAGGUGGGGGAGGAGUGAUUUCUACCAUUAGUUGAUUGUUUGCCUCUUGCUUAUGAACUCUCAGAGAGUAAAACUAUAUAUUAUUCAACUUUGUACCCUCCCAUGUGUCUUGGACAUCUAGGGGCUCAAGGAAUACUUGUUGAAUGUGGUAGGACAGUGUAUUUAAAAUGGAAAGUAUACUUAAGAAUUGAAAAUGUAUCUUUUCCAAAUUGAAGUGGUUUUCUGACAGAGUCACAAUGUUGGCAGUAAUUAACCUUAGAACUUUUUUUAAAAAUAUAUUUUAUUGAUUUUUUUUACAGAGAGGAAGGGAGAGGGAUAGAGUUAGAAACAUCGAUUAGAGAGAAACAUCGGUCAGCUGCCUCCUGCACACUCCCAACUGGGGAUGUGCCCGCAACCAAGGUACAUGCCCUUCACUGGAAUCAAACCCGGGACCCUUCAGUCCGCAGGCCAACAGUCUAUCCACUGAGCCAAACCGGUCUGGGCUAGCCUUAGAACUUUUAUAGCAAUGAAGCUACUAUGGAGUUUUCAUGCCUCCAGGAUUUCAGAUAAAAUGGCUUACAAUGUACAAGUGUGUGUGCUUGCUUAGCAUCAUCACUCGCAGGUGGAGAAACAGUAGGAAAGACACCUGGUAGGUGUUGCUCUGCCACAGUGUUUAAUUAGAAAAGUCUAAACUUUAUAGCCAGAUAGAAUUGGGCCUGAAGCUCAGCUCUGGCCCUAUCAGACAGGGCUGGCUCUCUCUAGUGAGUUACCUAACUUUUCUGAGCAUUCUCUCAUCUCUAAAGAGGAUGGAUGCAAUACCACUUACCCUGAAGGAUUGUUGUAAGAGUGGGAUAACAUAGGUAAAGUGCCUGGUGUACACUGGGCCCUUAAUGAGUGGAAACAGCUAUAAUUAUGAUUUCUAACUUAUGUGAUCCUGGGAAUAGCUUAAACUCUCAAAGCUUCAGUUUUCUUACCUAGAGGAUUGGUGGUUGAGAUGAGGGGGUGGGAAUUAAAUGAUCUCUAAGAUUUCUGUCCAUCUCUAUAGUUAAGAAACCAAUAAGAAUGUACAACUUUCCUGUUAUUUUAGUUUAAAUAAAAUGAUUGAUAUUAAUCUAACAAGAGUAACUACAAAAAUGGUUAGUUUCUAGGCAUUCCUAAGAAUUUAGCAUAAUUAGUUUUGGUGCUAUUAAGUACAUUUUCAUUAUUUUAUGUGCUAUAUAAUGGAUACAAAGUUAACUUAAUAUUUCAACCUCUCAGCUUACAUACCAGGCAGUAUAAGGAGUGUACAGUUUAAUAAGUCAUGGAUACCUUUUUUUCUUUCUUUCUUUUUUUUUUUUUUUUGAUACCUUUUCUGUGAAAGGCUUGUAGGGAGCAUAAGAAAGGAAACCAAAGGCUGAAUUACAUGGAAGGACUGGUAGAGAGGCAUAGCAGAAAUGCUUUGUGAUUUCAGAGAAGGAAAAAUUGGAGAAGACUUAAUUACGGAAUCUUGAGCAAAGCCGUAAGGAAUCGGCAGGACUUCAACUGGCAGUGAUGUAAGGAUCAGCCUGUAUUAAGACUUGAAGGAUAUCCAGAAAUGGAGGGACAAAAACCUGGGGACAGGAUAGUGGGACAGAAGGCUACAUGGCAGGGUUAGGACCAUAUUGUGAACAUCUUGAAUGCUGGGCUAAGGAGCCUGUUCAGUAGGCAGUAGCUAACCAUCAAAGGUAUUUAAAGUGGAGGGAACAAUGUAAUUAAAGCUGUGCUUUGAGAAGAUUAAUCUGCAUCAGAGGAGCAAUGGGUGGUCCCAGUUAGGAAGCUAUUAAAAUAGUCUCCAGAAUAAAAGCAGUGGGAAUCUAAAUUAGGGUGGGAGUCAGGUGGGUUGGGUGUGACACUGUACAGGUAAAUGCAAGAGGACUUGUUGACAAAUUGGAUGAGGGAGAAGUCAAAGACUGAAACGUAAGAGUAACUUUGGAUGGAGAUGGCAGGAAUUGAAAUAGGAAGGGCCACUAGUGAAGGCACCGCAAAUAGUGUGCAGUCAGCAAUGUUUGUAUAAUUAAUGUGAUUAUAAGUUUGAAUUUGGGUAUGUUAACGUUUUGUGUCUAUGGACAGUCCAGAUGGAUGGAGGAGCCCUGGCUGGUUUUUCUCAGUGGUUAGAGCAUCAGCCCAUGGACAGAAGGGUCUCUGUUUUGAUUCUCAGUCAAGGGCAUGUACCUUGGUUUCAGGUUCAAUCCCCAGCUCUAGUCGAGACGCGUGCGAGAGACAACCAAUUGAUUUGUCUCUUCUCACAUCAGUGUUUCUCUCCCUCCACCUCUCCUCCAUUUCAUCUCCUCCCGCCCUUCCACUCUGUCUGAAAACCAAUAGAAAAAAAAUAUCUUCGGAUGAGGAUUUUUUUCUUUUUAAAAAAGAGGAAGAGUGAAGGACAUCCUUAUGAAGAGGAAUGGUGAAGCUCUGAUGGUUCAGAGUGUGAGGGGAAGAAUAAAAGACCAGCAUAGGACCUUGGAUAUCCACUGUUUGUAUGUAUAGAGGGGGAGACAGAGGCUGAUAGGAUGCUGAGAAGAAAGAAACGAGAGGAAAACAAGGAAGAGAUCGGGUUAAAAAAAAAAAAGGUGAGAAAGGAGAAUUUGGAGGAGGCCGAUAGGGUAGAGGGGCAGAGAUUGAAGACUGGGAAAAAGUCAUUAGAUUUUUCAAUGAGACCAUUGGCAAUCACCUUUGAGGUCAGGGUCAAUGGGGCAGUGGAGACAAAAGUCAGCCAGGCACCCGAGGAGUGCCUGAAUGGGAAGGAAAUGGGGGGAGUCCGUAUAAGCUAUGAUUGGACUGCGAAAAUCUGAGAGGACAGUGACUUCAGGCACUGAAAACUUUCUUAAAAACCAAAAUCAUAGUGAGUCUCGAGAAUGUUGUAGCUGACAGUGGAGAGGAAGGAACUGAAGACCAAGAGAAGGAGUGGGGAGGCAAUUCAUGGACCAGGCCCUUCGCAAGUAGGAAGGACAGGAGCAGGACAGGGUGGCCAGACAUCCGGAUUGCCCAGCAGUCUCGGUUCACACCUGUUAUCCCAGUUUAAUUAUGUGGUAAUAUUUGGAGAAAUAAUGUCCAUUUUUAUUCUAACAGAAGACCCCUUUUUGAAUAGUAAAUUAUUUGAUGACCCUGGUGAUGACACAGAUAAAGUAGUUACUCAUGAAAAAACAGAUGUGACCUGGAAAGAAAAAAGAAGUUAAAUGAAGGCAAAGAGAAACAGAUUUAGAGAGGAAAGCUGGAAGCUGGGAGGGAUGGAGGCUGCCUUUGAAGUGGGUUGGUUCCUUUCUGUUGGGGGAAAAAAAUAAUAGAGUGGACCACUUGAUUUGCUGAACAUAAGUUGGGAGUGAGAGGUAAAGUUGGGAGGUGGAGGAGAGUGGGAAGGGUUUAGAAUAGCUGUGGAUUUGUAUGUGACAGGGAUCCAAAGGUGAUGAGGGCCUGACAAGUUGCUAAAAGGCCUUAGCCUUGAUAGAACAGGUCUUCCCUGCAUGUAUGGCUUUUUCCAGCAAUACUGAAAAAGUUGGACAUGGAGAUGGUGUGAGUAUCAUGGAGACUGCGAACUCCAUAUGGGUGCUCCGGUAAGUUGGGAGGCAAGUGAAACCAGAGUGUUGAUGGUCUGGGAGAAUGAGCAGGAGAUGUGAGAUUAGAAUGUGUAGUGAAUGGUUGGUUUUGCAAGAACAAGGAAAAGAGAAAUGGAAGAGUAGAGGGAUGAUUCUGAGGCUAGUGGCAAAGGGUACGAGGAACUUUCAGAGUAUCUUAUCCUUAUGGAGGGAUCAGUUAUGAGCAAUUAUGUAAAUUCUAAGUGUGGCUGAAUUUGAGGAUGGUGGAAUGACAAAGGCCUGAGGAAGAAGGUCAUUGAUCCUCAGGAUCUAUGAGGCCAAGGUGUUAAAAUGAUUAUAUAUCCAUGUUAGUGUCUUUUAAACAUGCUGGAAUGCAUUUAUUAUUAAAGCCUUUCUGAGCUUUUAGACCAUAGAGUGGAAAGUACCUUAAAUAUAGGGAAGUUUUUCCUUCAUUGAAAAGAUGAGGAAGCUAACAUCUUUUAAAGACUUUCUGGAAAGAUUGCAACUUACCCAGAUCACAGAAGCGUGGCAAAGCUAUUUCUGGGAGGAAUCUGAACCUCAGUUUCGUAUUCCUCUGUAGGACAGGAGAAGUAAUUAAGGUGCCCACUGCAAAGAGUCUUAGAAAGCUUCCUCGCCAUGCAGCUUGCCCACACCAUUGUUUGUGGGCCUGGAACUCCACCGAGGAGAGUGGAGGAAUCCAGUCCAUGUGUUCAGACUGCCAACCAAAGGCAGGUGAUGGCAUUUUUGAGGCGGACCCAUGAAAAGCACCAGUUCUUCCUCACCAGUCAAGGAACAGAUAAGAACUCAGCCAAUAGACAAAAUGUUAACUUUAUUAUUGAUGAAGGUUAGAUCAGAAAGCAUAGCUUGGUGUGAAGCCCAAAAUAGUUUCAUGCAGUGGUUCUCAACCUUCCUAAUGCCGCGACCCUUUAAUACAGUUCCUCAUGUUGUGGUGACCCCCAACCAUAAAAUUAUUUUCGUUGCUACUUCAUAACUGUAAUUUUGCUACUGUUAUGAAUCAUAAUGUAAAUAUCUGAUAUGCAGGAUGUAUUUUCAUUGUUACAAAUUGAACAUAAUUAAAGCAUAGUGAUUAAUCACAAAAACAAUAUGUGAUUAAUCACUAUAUGAUUAAUUAAAAACAAUAUGUGAUAUAAUUACAACAAUGUAAUUAUAUAUGUGUUUUCCGAUGGUCUUAGGCGACCCCUGUGAAAGGGUCGUUCGACCCCCAAAGGGGUCGCGACCCACAGGUUGAGAACCACUAAUCUACAGCCUAGUCUAGACUUCGAUUCUACUUGAUGGAAAGUUUGAGUCUGCGGAGCAGAAAUCCCCAGGUUUCUGCCUUUCACUGUCCAGGUACAGAGAAAGAUUGAGGCCAAAUCUCUCAUGGCUGGUAUAUUUGAUAGAAAAACUCCAUCAUCCAUUUGAGAACUGAGAAACAGAGCCAUGGCUGUCACACACCAACCAAACUGCUUCACCUCAUGGGGAAGGAGAUGGUAUAGGCGCCGUGGCCGGCAAACUGCGGCUCGCCAUCCAAAUGCGGCUCUUUGGCCCCUUGAGUGUGGCUCUUCCUAAGCCUUAGGAGCACCCUAAUUAAGUUAAUAACAAUGUACCUACCUAUAUAGUUUAAGUUUAAAAAAUUUGGCUCUCAAAAGAAAUUUCAGUCGUUGUACUGUUGAUAUUUGGCUCUGUUGACUAAUGAGUUUGCUGACCACUGGCACUGUAGGGCAAGCAGGCAGGAGUGGAUCGGGAAUGUGCCUCCUUUGGAAACUGUGAGAAGGGAAAGAGGCUAUCGUUCCCCUUAAACAUAAAGUUAGUGACCAGUCCUAAGCUUCCUGUUUGCAUUUGAGUUAAGCAAACUUCUGAAACAGCAGGUGAAUUUUUAUUUUAACUAGAAAUGAGUAUAAUGACUCAGAAUGGCUAGUUAAUGACUCAGAUUUCAUAGUCAUACCCAGUGAAUCGUCCCUUCCUUCCAGGGAAUGUCAGGAGACUCACAUAUGUCAUAGAAAUCACCAGCUUUGAUAUUGUGUUGUUGAAUUCAGAACUUGAAAGUUCUUUCUCCUCAUAAAAUAUUUAAGGAGCCCUUAUUGGACAUGGGACGUUUGGAACCAGUCCUGAUUCUGUCACUAUUACUGACCUUACUAAUAUCUAUUCAGUGACUUAGUUUCCUCAUCUGCAGCAUGGGAGAAAAUAAUACCUGUUCUAUUUCCCAGGUAUUCGUCGUGAAAGCUCUCUGCAUAAAUAGUCUUAUGCAGAGGUAUCAAUAUUAGCAGGAUACAAGGUAAACAUACUAUGGAGUUUAAGAACUCUUUUAAUUAAAGUGUUUCAAGUAAAACAACUAAGAUGACUAUUGAAGUUUGGUGGGACUCUUGUUCAGACAUUUAAGGGUAAAUCAGGGUGACUUUUCUCCUUUUAUCACCAUCAAUGUGUCCAAUAAUUAUGGCCAAGUGAGUUGAAAGCCCUGUGUUUUCACAACAAAUGAAAUCUCUGCCUUUUCAUUUAUUUCUGUUAACUGUUCAAAGCCUUUUUAAUUGCCUGGCCAGUGUGGCUCAGUGGUUGAGCAUCACCCUAUUAACCGGGAGGUCAUGGUUUGAUUCCCAGUCAGGGCACAUGCCCAGGUUGUGGGCUUAAUCCCCAGUGUGGGGCGUGCAGGAGGCCAAUCAUCAUUGAUCUCUCUCUUCCCUCUCCCUUCCUUUCUGAAAUCAAUAAAAAUAUAUUUUUUAAAAUAUGUUGUCUUUUUAUUGUAAAAUGUGACAAAUAUAUAACUUCUAAAAUGUAAAUGUACAGUUCAGUGAAUUAUUAAAAAGUGAACAUCCAUGUAACUACCCACCCAGCUUAAGAAAUAGAACAUUUUAAUCUCCCCCUCCUCUUAGGAAUCGCUUUUCUUUGUUAGAUACAUGGUUUUCUUCUCAGGGAGGUCAUGAGUAGUAGCCGGAGGCAAAAAUAAGUGUUGACAGGUCCAGAAUAUGUGCUUUUGAGUGGAAUUAGAUCAAAGGUAUAAUAUUCGUGUGUUUUUCUUACUUUUACUCUAUAGUUAUUUCUUGUUUUUAUAACUAUGAAUUUGGUGUUUAGGACAAGACAAGUCCUGGAUUUUUCAGCCUUCAAGAUCAAAAUCUUCAGGCUAAGAGUCCUCACUUUUGUAUCCUCUGGAUGGGAGGGGAAAAGUUGUGAUCCUUUCGAUAUGAGAAAACGCCUUGUGCUUAAUUAUUUUUUAAAUGUUCUGAUCAUCUCUCCUUUGCCUAUUCUUGGAAGCAAAACAGCUAAGACUCCAAUAUUGAUGAUGACUUUGUGCAGGAGUCAGAUGCCUUCCGUGAAAGUACUUGAGCACUAUCAAGGCCACCACCGACUAGAUAUGAAAUGGCAAGAAAGGAGUCAAGGAAAACAGCUUUAUUGCAUGAAAAUCUGCAUUUUCUUUGUUUAUUUAUAAUCUAAUGUUCUAAAUUCUACCACCUUUUAAAACUAAAAGGGUUAGUAAAUCAAGUCUUUUGGGGCAUCCAGAAAAAAAGGUUUUCCUGAUACAUGUUUUAUAUUAAAAAAGAAAAUGACAAACAUUGAAAUAAUUGGGAAAGUAUCUUAGCUAACCUGUUGUGUUUAUAAAAACAGAAAAAUUACGCGUGUUUAAAAAAUUGGCGAAGGCUCAUCUUUUGGGGCAGUUUCUAUGGUUGUAAGAUUUAGUUAUAGGGACUUUAGAUUAGAAUUUGGUGGACUGAACAUGUGUUUACUGUCAGUCCAUCCCGAAACACCACUAUAGAAAUGGUGAACCUGAGAAGAGGCAACAGCAGAUGGGAGAUGCCAACCAAUUUUUGGAGGAUGCAAAGCAAAGAGACCUGGGGCAGCUGAUUAGUGUAGUAAAGAACGUUGAUACUUAAGUGCCCUUAAAGAAGGAGGGUGGGAGCGGAUACUGGGGAGACACAGCCAGUUUAAUCCCCCCCCCCCCCGCCAUCUCAGAAAGGCUCUGGAGUUAGAGGCUUUGAAGUGGGGCAUAAGGCUGACAAUAAGGAAUUGAUUGAAAGUCUGUAAGUGGAACCGCAUUCUCAGUUAACUUUCCCCAUCGAUUAUGAAGGUGAAGUCCUUGCCAGAGAUGGGACAUUUUUUCUCUGGAGAAACUGAAGUGUAUGAACGGUAUCCCAUUCAUUUAGGGAUACCAAGCAACAAAGAGAGGAUGGGUGAAAUGCUCAACUGAAAACAGGAACUUAAUGAACUUAUAUGUAUACCAAACAGUGAGACCCUAUGCUCUUUUCACCCAUCCUGAUCUUAGGAUAGCUAAGUAAUUACCUACCCAGGCAGGAUAUUAAAGGAUUCCUCUCUGGAUAAAACGAAGACCCCUAGGGAAAAGUCCUGUAGAUACUGACACAAUAACAAAACUGACUUACUACCCAUUCUUCCUAUAGUGAGCCCGCUAGUCAACAACUCUACUCAUUCUAUUCUAUGAACAUGGAACUCACAAAGAGUUUUUUAGUGUCUUACCCUUAAAUACAAAUAGAUAGCCAAUGAAUAGGAGACAUAUAAAGAAAGCAUUCCAUUUUUUAAAAAGACAGAAAUCAGAACAAAUGAGAAAAAAAUCAUGGAGGAAACAGACUGCAAGGAGAAGAAUAAAAGUGAAAAUCAAAACCAACCUGCAUAUAAUUAAUGCAAUAAGACAGGGCUGUAAAAAAGUAAUAAGAGAAUAACAGUCUGGGAAAUUAAAAGUAACAUGACAAAAAAAAAAUAAUUGGAAGGACCAGAAAAUAAAGUGGAAAUAAAAGCAAAAAGAAAACAAUAGAAUUAGAUUAUCAGUUUAGUAAGGAGUAUAUCUUACUAAUAAGACUUCCUGAAAGAAACUACAGGGAAAAGUAGAUGAAAUUACCAAAGAAGUAAUGCAAGAAUUUUCCUACAACUGGAGGACAUACAUUUGUAGGUUAAAAGGAUUCACAAAAUAGCCAGGAGAAUGAAAAAAGAUCCACACCACCAAUGUAUAAGACAUACCAUUGCAAAAUUUCAAGAUACAAGGUAAAUGGGAAUAUCCUAAAUCCUGUCAGGGGUGGGGGGAAGAUGGAAACUCCAGAUCACAUGCAAAAAUAUUGGAAAUUGAAAUGGUACCAGAUUUCUUAACACUGGAACCUGAGGACAACGGAUUAAUUCCUUCAGAAUCCCAAGGGAAAUCAUUUGCAACCUAGAAUUUUCAACACAAUUUAUCAAUUGGAAGAUAGAAACAAGACAGUUUGAGGGCAUGAAAGGUUUCAAAAUUUAUCUUUAUGCAUCAUUUUGCAGGAAACCACCAAAUGGUAUAUUUUACCAAAAUGUGGGCAUAAACCAAGAAAGAAUAAUAAAUUUGAUUCUGGAAACGGAGUCAAACAUAGGAAAAAAGCGAAAGAAAAUUUUAGGACGACAGCAAAGAGAAAUUUCAAGGUGAUGGUAGCGCAGCAGUCCUAGAGAGAAGCCAAUCCAGAUCAGAAUAGGGGAAGAUCCGCCAGGAGUUUCCAGAUGAAAACAAAAACAAAACUGAUUGACAAUCUGAUCCAUUUGACCAAGUGCAAAAUAUUCUUCAGAGUGGCUUUCCAGUUCCUUGUGAGCAUUUGGGAUAAAUUAUUGAUCCAGAAAACCUAGUAAAUUAA
Molecule: long non-coding RNA, 10530 nt
Organism: Myotis daubentonii (Daubenton's bat)
Lineage: Eukaryota; Metazoa; Chordata; Mammalia; Chiroptera; Vespertilionidae
Source: RefSeq, a predicted model, not a curated record